GCUGUGAGGCAUGCUGGAGGUAUCAGAAGUGCGAAUGCUGACAUAAGUAACGAUAAAGCGGGUGAAAAGCCCGCUCGCCGGAAGACCAAGGGUUCCUGUCCAACGUUAAUCGGGGCAGGGUGAGUCGACCCCUAAGGCGAGGCCGAAAGGCGUAGUCGAUGGGAAACGGGUUAAUAUUCCCGUACUUGGUGUUACUGCGAAGGGGGGACGGAGAAGGCUAUGUUGGCCGGGCGACGGUUGUCCCGGUUUAAGCGUGUAGGCUGGUUUUCCAGGCAAAUCCGGAAAAUCAAGGCUGAGGCGUGAUGACGAGGCACUACGGUGCUGAAGCAACAAAUGCCCUGCUUCCAGGAAAAGCCUCUAAGCAUCAGGUAACAUCAAAUCGUACCCCAAACCGACACAGGUGGUCAGGUAGAGAAUACCAAGGCGCUUGAGAGAACUCGGGUGAAGGAACUAGGCAAAAUGGUGCCGUAACUUCGGGAGAAGGCACGCUGACACGUAGGUGAAGUGAUUUACUCAUGGAGCUGAAGUCAGUCGAAGAUACCAGCUGGCUGCAACUGUUUAUUAAAAACACAGCACUGUGCAAACACGAAAGUGGACGUAUACGGUGUGACGCCUGCCCGGUGCCGGAAGGUUAAUUGAUGGGGUCAGCGCAAGCGAAGCUCCUGAUCGAAGCCCCGGUAAACGGCGGCCGUAACUAUAACGGUCCUAAGGUAGCGAAAUUCCUUGUCGGGUAAGUUCCGACCUGCACGAAUGGCGUAAUGAUGGCCAGGCUGUCUCCACCCGAGACUCAGUGAAAUUGAACUCGCUGUGAAGAUGCAGUGUACCCGCGGCAAGACGGAAAGACCCCGUGAACCUUUACUAUAGCUUGACACUGAACAUUGAGCCUUGAUGUGUAGGAUAGGUGGGAGGCUUUGAAGUGUGGACGCCAGUCUGCAUGGAGCCGACCUUGAAAUACCACCCUUUAAUGUUUGAUGUUCUAACGUGGACCCGUGAUCCGGGUUGCGGACAGUGUCUGGUGGGUAGUUUGACUGGGGCGGUCUCCUCCUAAAGAGUAACGGAGGAGCACGAAGGUUGGCUAAUCCUGGUCGGACAUCAGGAGGUUAGUGCAAUGGCAUAAGCCAGCUUGACUGCGAGCGUGACGGCGCGAGCAGGUGCGAAAGCAGGUCAUAGUGAUCCGGUGGUUCUGAAUGGAAGGGCCAUCGCUCAACGGAUAAAAGGUACUCCGGGGAUAACAGGCUGAUACCGCCCAAGAGUUCAUAUCGACGGCGGUGUUUGGCACCUCGAUGUCGGCUCAUCACAUCCUGGGGCUGAAGUAGGUCCCAAGGGUAUGGCUGUUCGCCAUUUAAAGUGGUACGCGAGCUGGGUUUAGAACGUCGUGAGACAGUUCGGUCCCUAUCUGCCGUGGGCGCUGGAGAACUGAGGGGGGCUGCUCCUAGUACGAGAGGACCGGAGUGGACGCAUCACUGGUGUUCGGGUUGUCAUGCCAAUGGCACUGCCCGGUAGCUAAAUGCGGAAGAGAUAAGUGCUGAAAGCAUCUAAGCACGAAACUUGCCCCGA
This 1557-nucleotide ribosomal RNA is filed under the name Salmonella enterica subsp. enterica serovar Cerro. Its description in RNAcentral is "partial 23S ribosomal RNA". It matches the Rfam family "Bacterial large subunit ribosomal RNA", at positions 1260 to 2802 of the family's 2925-position model. Lineage: Bacteria; Pseudomonadati; Pseudomonadota; Gammaproteobacteria; Enterobacterales; Enterobacteriaceae. The record is from RNAcentral.